Molecule: ribosomal RNA, 253 nt
Filed under: uncultured bacterium
Lineage: Bacteria
Description: partial 16S ribosomal RNA
Rfam family: Bacterial small subunit ribosomal RNA
Source: RNAcentral
UACAGAGGGUGCAAGCGUUGUUCGGAAUUAUUGGGCGUAAAGGGCGCGUAGGCGGUGCUGUAAGUCUGUAGUGAAAUCUCUGGGCUCAACUCAGAGUCUGCUAUAGAAACUGCAGUGCUAGAGUGUGGGAGAGGUGAGUGGAGUUCCCGGUGUAGCGGUGAAAUGCGUAGAUAUCGGGAGGAACACCUGUGGCGAAAGCGGCUCACUGGACCACAACUGACGCUGAGGCGCGAAAGCUAGGGGAGCAAACAGG